GGCGCCUCCUCGCCCGGGCUCCGUACUUUUACGCUAGUGCCAUGUGAAACCAGACCACAUGCCCUUUUUUAUUCGUUGAACCAAUGAUGCUGAGUAAGUGAUGGGUCCAACGCUGGGCCGUUGGCCGAGGAGACUGGUGCAGAAACAGGCCCAGUGCAAAAUGGAGAUGCCCGAGUGUCAAGAUGGACUGCAGAGAUUAAGCCAAGCCUGGGGACCCCGAGCCCUUUUGCUGCUGGCCACCGAAGAGGCGUCAGCCAGGAGGGAGAAAGGCACAGUGUUUUGAGGAAUUGGAGAAUAAUGGGUAGAGGAGUCUGGCCGAGUGGAUCAUUUCUAGUGUGCAGAUAAAGUGGAAAAGAAAAAAAAAAAAAAAAGGACGCGUGUGAGAGUGUGAGGAGAAUGAAAAUUAUUUACCUGAUCCAUUUUUGGUGACAUGUAUGAAAUCAUCCUCAUCCUCAUCCUCAUCACAGCUAUCAAAGUUUACUUGCUGGAGGACUGUUUCUGACUGUAUCUCAGCUUGAUUGACGUCUUUUUGCUUAUUGGAGCUUCGAAGUGCGACAAGACGAUGAUGUAUUGCUGCGUACAGAUGCUUUGAAUAUAAUAAUGUGUGAUCAAAUUUUAGAAGCAUGGGGCACCAUGUUUUCUGGAUGUAUGAAGAAGGAUUAGACAACCUCUCAGCAUUUAUUUCUACAUUGAUGACUUUAAAGCAAGGCAUGAAUUCUAAAACAAUGAAAACUAAGCACAAGUAAUGAUUCAGGUGUCAAUCAUUGUAUCAAGAACAGGUGGGAAGAGUUGAGGGCUUUCUGAGUAUAAAUAAGCUUUGCGUGCAGCACCAGAGACUCCAAGCCUUUUCAUCAGUAGAGAGAGCUUCUAAGUGAAGAUAAGUAAUCCUACAGAUAAAAUAGAUAUCAACAACACAUGUAAGUCUCCAGUGCCCCCAGAAGUCCUCUGUGAUGAGAUCAUUUCCUCCAAUUCUGUUCCAAAGCAUGAGAUGAUGAGUGACUUGCUUAAAGGUAGGCAUUUGCAUCCUAGCACCUGAAAUACUUCCUGACACAUUGUAGAGUAGAAUCAGCAGUUUAAGCUCAGCUUCUGCCAAGACCAAGGCCAAAAAAAUAGAAGAUCUACCACUGCUUGAAGCCCCUCCUCUGUACCAACCCAAUUAUUACUCCAGUUCUCCUUCAAAGGAUGCAAUUUUAACUCAAUGAUAUAGCUUUAUUUUUCCUAUUUUUGAACUUCAUGUAAGUACAAUCAUGCAUUUUAAGAUAAUUAUUUUUAAAAAUAAAAUUGGUUAUACUGUCAAUAAAUUAGGAUAUUUGAACUAGAGAUGGCUUCAAAAUCUAGUCUUUCUGGAGUAUUCUUAGUCUAGGACAUUUCAUUCUCAAGUCAGAGGAAAGGAAAAAAAGAAAUGGCAGAACCACUCAGGGGCUAUUCAAACUAUGAUUGGGACCUGACAUAUGUAAUUUCUGCUUGUGAUUAAUAAAAGCAAAGUUAGUCCUUUCUUAUUUUUAUUCAUUUUUUUAUUUUUUGAGAGGCAGAGUGGACAGUGAGAGAGAGAGAGAGACAGAAAGAAAGGUCUUCCUUUUGCUGUUGGUUCACCCUCCAAUGGCCGCCGCGGCUGGCGCUCUGCGACCAGCGCACCGCGCUGAUCUGAUGGCAGGAGCCAGGUACUUCUCCUGGUCUCCCAUGGGGUUCAGGGCCCAAGUACUUGGGCCAUCCUCCACUGCACUCCUGGGCCACAGCAGAGAGCUGGCCUGGAAGAGGGGCAACCAGGACAGAAUCCGGCGCCCCUACCAGGACUAGAACCCGGUGUGCCGGCGCCACAAGGCAGAGGAUUAGCCUAGUGAGCCGCGGCGCCGGCUGACAUUAGUCCUUUCUAAAAAGGGCAAAUCAUUUUGAACAAUA
This is a non-coding RNA of Oryctolagus cuniculus (rabbit), 1899 nucleotides long. Lineage: Eukaryota; Metazoa; Chordata; Mammalia; Lagomorpha; Leporidae. The record is from RefSeq and is a predicted model, not a curated record.